Molecule: transfer RNA, 68 nt
Filed under: Jaculus jaculus (lesser Egyptian jerboa)
Lineage: Eukaryota; Metazoa; Chordata; Mammalia; Rodentia; Dipodidae
Description: tRNA (ENSJJAG00000000015.1)
Rfam family: tRNA
About the family: Transfer RNA (tRNA) molecules are approximately 80 nucleotides in length. Their secondary structure includes four short double-helical elements and three loops (D, anti-codon, and T loops).
Source: RNAcentral
GGUAAAAUGGCUGAGUGAAGCAUUAGACUGUAAAUCUAAAGACAGAGGUUUUAGCCCUCUUUUUACCA